CGAACGAAGCGCUUAAACGGAUUUCUUCGGAUUAAAGUUUUUGUGACUGAGUGGCGGACGGGUGAGUAACGCGUGGGUAACCUGCCUCAUACAGGGGGAUAACAGUUAGAAAUGACUGCUAAUACCGCAUAAGCGCACAGUGCUGCAUGGCACAGUGUGAAAAACUCCGGUGGUAUGAGAUGGACCCGCGUCUGAUUAGCUAGUUGGUGGGGUAACGGCCUACCAAGGCGACGAUCAGUAGCCGGCCUGAGAGGGUGAACGGCCACAUUGGGACUGAGACACGGCCCAAACUCCUACGGGAGGCAGCAGUGGGGAAUAUUGCACAAUGGGGGAAACCCUGAUGCAGCGACGCCGCGUGAGCGAAGAAGUAUUUCGGUAUGUAAAGCUCUAUCAGCAGGGAAGAAAAUGACGGUACCUGACUAAGAAGCACCGGCUAAAUACGUGCCAGCAGCCGCGGUAAUACGUAUGGUGCAAGCGUUAUCCGGAUUUACUGGGUGUAAAGGGAGCGUAGACGGUUGUGUAAGUCUGAUGUGAAAGCCCGGGGCUCAACCCCGGGACUGCAUUGGAAACUAUGUAACUAGAGUGUCGGAGAGGUAAGCGGAAUUCCUAGUGUAGCGGUGAAAUGCGUAGAUAUUAGGAGGAACACCAGUGGCGAAGGCGGCUUACUGG
Molecule: ribosomal RNA, 669 nt
Filed under: uncultured Lachnospiraceae bacterium
Lineage: Bacteria; Bacillati; Bacillota; Clostridia; Lachnospirales; Lachnospiraceae
Description: bacterial SSU rRNA
Rfam family: Bacterial small subunit ribosomal RNA
Source: RNAcentral